UACGUAGGGUGCAAGCGUUGUCCGGAAUUAUUGGGCGUAAAGAGCUCGUAGGCGGUUUGUCGCGUCUGCUGUGAAAACUCGGGGCUUAACCUCGGGCCUGCAGUGGGUACGGGCAGACUAGAGUGCGGUAGGGGAGACUGGAAUUCCUGGUGUAGCGGUGAAAUGCGCAGAUAUCAGGAGGAACACCGGUGGCGAAGGCGGGUCUCUGGGCCGUAACUGACGCUGAGGAGCGAAAGCGUGGGGAGCGAACAGG
RNAcentral lists this ribosomal RNA (253 nucleotides) under uncultured bacterium. RNAcentral's name for it is "partial 16S ribosomal RNA". It matches the Rfam family "Bacterial small subunit ribosomal RNA", at positions 524 to 776 of the family's 1533-position model. The record is from RNAcentral.